This 497-nucleotide ribosomal RNA is filed under the name uncultured bacterium. RNAcentral describes it as "partial 16S ribosomal RNA". It matches the Rfam family "Bacterial small subunit ribosomal RNA", at positions 28 to 507 of the family's 1533-position model. The record is from RNAcentral.
GAUGAACGCUGGCGGCGUGCCUAAUACAUGCAAGUCGAGCGAACGGACGAGAAGCUUGCUUCUCUGAUGUUAGCGGCGGACGGGUGAGUAACACGUGGAUAACCUACCUAUAAGACUGGGAUAACUUCGGGAAACCGGAGCUAAUACCGGAUAAUAUUUUGAACCGCAGGGUUCAAAAGUGAAAGACGGUCUUGCUGUCACUUAUAGAUGGAUCCGCGCUGCAUUAGCUAGUUGGUAAGGUAACGGCUUACCAAGGCAACGAUGCAUAGCCGACCUGAGAGGGUGAUCGGCCACACUGGAACUGAGACACGGUCCAGGCUCCUACGGGAGGCAGCAGUAGGGAAUCUUCCGCAAUGGGCGAAAGCCUGACGGAGCAACGCCGCGUGAGUGAUGAAGGUCUUCGGAUCGUAAAGCUCUGUUAUUGGGGAAGAACAGAUGUGUAAGUAACUGUGCACAUCUUGACGGUACCUAAUCAGAAAGCCCCGGCUAACUACGUG